CUGGGGGAUGUAGCUCAGUGGUAGAGCGCG
RNAcentral lists this non-coding RNA (30 nucleotides) under Cricetulus griseus (Chinese hamster). Lineage: Eukaryota; Metazoa; Chordata; Mammalia; Rodentia; Cricetidae. The record is from RNAcentral.